RNAcentral lists this non-coding RNA (24 nucleotides) under Mus musculus (house mouse). Lineage: Eukaryota; Metazoa; Chordata; Mammalia; Rodentia; Muridae. The record is from RNAcentral.
UGAAUAUGUUCUGCUUACCUGGUC